RNAcentral lists this long non-coding RNA (214 nucleotides) under Homo sapiens (human). Its description in RNAcentral is "long non-coding RNA NONHSAT255953". Lineage: Eukaryota; Metazoa; Chordata; Mammalia; Primates; Hominidae. The record is from RNAcentral.
GUUUGUAAAUGCACCAAUCAGUGCUCUGUGUCUAGCUAAUCUACUGGGGACUUGGAGAACUUUUGCGGCUAGGUAAAGGAUUGUAAACGGACCAAUCAGCUCUCUGUAAAACGGACCAAUCAGCUCUCUGUAAAAUGGACCAAUCAGCUCUCUGUAAAAUGGACCAAUCAGCAGGAUGUGGGUGGAGUCAGACAAGGGAAUAAAAGCAUACUGC